This 478-nucleotide ribosomal RNA is filed under the name uncultured bacterium. RNAcentral's name for it is "partial 16S ribosomal RNA". It matches the Rfam family "Bacterial small subunit ribosomal RNA", at positions 28 to 507 of the family's 1533-position model. The record is from RNAcentral.
GAUGAACGCUCGCGGCAGGCCUAACACAUGCAAGUCGAGGGAGAAGCCCUUUCGGGGGCAGAAACCGGCGCACGGGUGCGUAACGCGUAUGCAACCUACCUUUCACAGGGGGAUAGCCCGAAGAAAUUUGGAUUAAUACCCCAUAAUAUUAUUGGAUGGCAUCAUUUGAUAAUUAAAACUGCGGUGGUGAAAGAUGGGCAUGCGUCCUAUUAGCUAGUUGGAGUGGUAACGGCACCCCAAGGCUACGAUAGGUAGGGGUCCUGAGAGGGAGAUCCCCCACACUGGUACUGAGACAGGGACCAGACUCCUACGGGAGGAAGCAGUGAGGAAUAUUGGUCAAUGGUCGGAAGACUGAACCAGCCAUGCCGCGUGCAGGAAGAAUGCCUUAUGGGUUGUAAACUGCUUUUAUAUGGGAAGAAUAAGGCGUACGUGUACGUUGAUGACGGUACCAUAUGAAUAAGCAUCGGCUAACUCCGUG